RNAcentral lists this small RNA (91 nucleotides) under Salmonella enterica. RNAcentral's name for it is "partial RtT sRNA". It matches the Rfam family "RtT RNA", at positions 38 to 130 of the family's 130-position model. From Rfam's summary of the family: This family represents a bacterial cis-regulatory element known as RtT RNA. The exact function of RtT is unknown although it is thought that it may be involved in changing the cellular response in relation to amino acid starvation. The record is from RNAcentral. Lineage: Bacteria; Pseudomonadati; Pseudomonadota; Gammaproteobacteria; Enterobacterales; Enterobacteriaceae.
CAGGUUCGUGUCGAACGCAGUGAGACAACGGAGCCGCUUGCGGCGACGGCCCGAAGGGCGAGCGAAGCGAGUCAUCCUGCACGACCCACCA